RNAcentral lists this ribosomal RNA (2930 nucleotides) under Escherichia coli. RNAcentral describes it as "23S ribosomal RNA". It matches the Rfam family "Bacterial large subunit ribosomal RNA". The record is from RNAcentral. Lineage: Bacteria; Pseudomonadati; Pseudomonadota; Gammaproteobacteria; Enterobacterales; Enterobacteriaceae.
GGGUUGUGAGGUUAAGCGACUAAGCGUACACGGUGGAUGCCCUGGCAGUCAGAGGCGAUGAAGGACGUGCUAAUCUGCGAUAAGCGUCGGUAAGGUGAUAUGAACCGUUAUAACCGGCGAUUUCCGAAUGGGGAAACCCAGUGUGAUUCGUCACACUAUCAUUAACUGAAUCCAUAGGUUAAUGAGGCGAACCGGGGGAACUGAAACAUCUAAGUACCCCGAGGAAAAGAAAUCAACCGAGAUUCCCCCAGUAGCGGCGAGCGAACGGGGAGCAGCCCAGAGCCUGAAUCAGUGUGUGUGUUAGUGGAAGCGUCUGGAAAGGCGCGCGAUACAGGGUGACAGCCCCGUACACAAAAAUGCACAUGCUGUGAGCUCGAUGAGUAGGGCGGGACACGUGGUAUCCUGUCUGAAUAUGGGGGGACCAUCCUCCAAGGCUAAAUACUCCUGACUGACCGAUAGUGAACCAGUACCGUGAGGGAAAGGCGAAAAGAACCCCGGCGAGGGGAGUGAAAAAGAACCUGAAACCGUGUACGUACAAGCAGUGGGAGCCUCUUUAUGGGGUGACUGCGUACCUUUUGUAUAAUGGGUCAGCGACUUAUAUUCUGUAGCAAGGUUAACCGAAUAGGGGAGCCGAAGGGAAACCGAGUCUUAACUGGGCGUUAAGUUGCAGGGUAUAGACCCGAAACCCGGUGAUCUAGCCAUGGGCAGGUUGAAGGUUGGGUAACACUAACUGGAGGACCGAACCGACUAAUGUUGAAAAAUUAGCGGAUGACUUGUGGCUGGGGGUGAAAGGCCAAUCAAACCGGGAGAUAGCUGGUUCUCCCCGAAAGCUAUUUAGGUAGCGCCUCGUGAACUCAUCUCCGGGGGUAGAGCACUGUUUCGGCAAGGGGGUCAUCCCGACUUACCAACCCGAUGCAAACUGCGAAUACCGGAGAAUGUUAUCACGGGAGACACACGGCGGGUGCUAACGUCCGUCGUGAAGAGGGAAACAACCCAGACCGCCAGCUAAGGUCCCAAAGUCAUGGUUAAGUGGGAAACGAUGUGGGAAGGCCCAGACAGCCAGGAUGUUGGCUUAGAAGCAGCCAUCAUUUAAAGAAAGCGUAAUAGCUCACUGGUCGAGUCGGCCUGCGCGGAAGAUGUAACGGGGCUAAACCAUGCACCGAAGCUGCGGCAGCGACGCUUAUGCGUUGUUGGGUAGGGGAGCGUUCUGUAAGCCUGUGAAGGUGUGCUGUGAGGCAUGCUGGAGGUAUCAGAAGUGCGAAUGCUGACAUAAGUAACGAUAAAGCGGGUGAAAAGCCCGCUCGCCGGAAGACCAAGGGUUCCUGUCCAACGUUAAUCGGGGCAGGGUGAGUCGACCCCUAAGGCGAGGCCGAAAGGCGUAGUCGAUGGGAAACAGGUUAAUAUUCCUGUACUUGGUGUUACUGCGAAGGGGGGACGGAGAAGGCUAUGUUGGCCGGGCGACGGUUGUCCCGGUUUAAGCGUGUAGGCUGGUUUUCCAGGCAAAUCCGGAAAAUCAAGGCUGAGGCGUGAUGACGAGGCACUACGGUGCUGAAGCAACAAAUGCCCUGCUUCCAGGAAAAGCCUCUAAGCAUCAGGUAACAUCAAAUCGUACCCCAAACCGACACAGGUGGUCAGGUAGAGAAUACCAAGGCGCUUGAGAGAACUCGGGUGAAGGAACUAGGCAAAAUGGUGCCGUAACUUCGGGAGAAGGCACGCUGAUAUGUAGGUGAAGUCCCUCGCGGAUGGAGCUGAAAUCAGUCGAAGAUACCAGCUGGCUGCAACUGUUUAUUAAAAACACAGCACUGUGCAAACACGAAAGUGGACGUAUACGGUGUGACGCCUGCCCGGUGCCGGAAGGUUAAUUGAUGGGGUCAGCGCAAGCGAAGCUCUUGAUCGAAGCCCCGGUAAACGGCGGCCGUAACUAUAACGGUCCUAAGGUAGCGAAAUUCCUUGUCGGGUAAGUUCCGACCUGCACGAAUGGCGUAAUGAUGGCCAGGCUGUCUCCACCCGAGACUCAGUGAAAUUGAACUCGCUGUGAAGAUGCAGUGUACCCGCGGCAAGACGGAAAGACCCCGUGAACCUUUACUAUAGCUUGACACUGAACAUUGAGCCUUGAUGUGUAGGAUAGGUGGGAGGCUUAGAAGUGUGGACGCCAGUCUGCAUGGAGCCGACCUUGAAAUACCACCCUUUAAUGUUUGAUGUUCUAACGUUGACCCGUAAUCCGGGUUGCGGACAGUGUCUGGUGGGUAGUUUGACUGGGGCGGUCUCCUCCUAAAGAGUAACGGAGGAGCACGAAGGUUGGCUAAUCCUGGUCGGACAUCAGGAGGUUAGUGCAAUGGCAUAAGCCAGCUUGACUGCGAGCGUGACGGCGCGAGCAGGUGCGAAAGCAGGUCAUAGUGAUCCGGUGGUUCUGAAUGGAAGGGCCAUCGCUCAACGGAUAAAAGGUACUCCGGGGAUAACAGGCUGAUACCGCCCAAGAGUUCAUAUCGACGGCGGUGUUUGGCACCUCGAUGUCGGCUCAUCACAUCCUGGGGCUGAAGUAGGUCCCAAGGGUAUGGCUGUUCGCCAUUUAAAGUGGUACGCGAGCUGGGUUUAGAACGUCGUGAGACAGUUCGGUCCCUAUCUGCCGUGGGCGCUGGAGAACUGAGGGGGGCUGCUCCUAGUACGAGAGGACCGGAGUGGACGCAUCACUGGUGUUCGGGUUGUCAUGCCAAUGGCACUGCCCGGUAGCUAAAUGCGGAAGAGAUAAGUGCUGAAAGCAUCUAAGCACGAAACUUGCCCCGAGAUGAGUUCUCCCUGACCCUUUAAGGGUCCUGAAGGAACGUUGAAGACGACGACGUUGAUAGGCCGGGUGUGUAAGCGCAGCGAUGCGUUGAGCUAACCGGUACUAAUGAACCGUGAGGCUUAACCUUACAACGCCGAAGGUGUUU